RNAcentral lists this small RNA (507 nucleotides) under Histoplasma capsulatum var. duboisii H88. RNAcentral's name for it is "Histoplasma capsulatum H88 hypothetical RNA". Lineage: Eukaryota; Fungi; Ascomycota; Eurotiomycetes; Onygenales; Ajellomycetaceae. The record is from RNAcentral.
CACUACAGCCCAUGUGGCGCACUCACUAACUGGAAAUGGAAUUCUGGAAGCGGCGGCUACAGGGUAAUACGGUAUAAAUGAAACCCCGAUCGCAAGAGUGAGUUCCGUUUCGCUCCAUUUACAAUAAAACAACUUUGGAGGAAGCAUAUAGAGGGCAUAUUCGCUGGGAUUUCCAAUCAUGUCUUAUUCGGCAAUGCAAUUCUAAUCUAGAGCUCGUGGAGGAUAUUGGGGUUAAGAAAUCAGUCAAUUUGUAGGAUGUAUGCAGAUAGAAGAGGUAUUUGAUAGAUAACGCUGGUGGACGAUGCUAUCCUUUCGCAAAAUUGCAGCAUUGAGGGUUAUCGCAUGUGGUUAAAAAAUUAUAUAUCAAAAUAAAACAGAGAAAGUAACGACCAAAAGUUGAAAUGACGGCAAAGAAUGAACAAAUGCAAAAUAUAUCAAUCACAAUGCGCCACAGCAGUCUAUUGCAGCAAGCAGGAAUAUAAAACAAUAGGAAUCUAAAUCAUGCCA